This 468-nucleotide ribosomal RNA is filed under the name uncultured bacterium. Its description in RNAcentral is "partial 16S ribosomal RNA". It matches the Rfam family "Bacterial small subunit ribosomal RNA", at positions 28 to 507 of the family's 1533-position model. The record is from RNAcentral.
GACGAACGCUGGCGGCGUGCUUAACACAUGCAAGUCGAACGGAAAGGCCCUGCUUUUGUGGGGUGCUCGAGUGGCGAACGGGUGAGUAACACGUGAGUAACCUGCCCUUGACUUUGGGAUAACUUCAGGAAACUGGGGCUAAUACCGGAUAGGAGCUCCUGCUGCAUGGUGGGGGUUGGAAAGUUUCGGCGGUUGGGGAUGGACUCGCGGCUUAUCAGCUUGUUGGUGGGGUAGUGGCUUACCAAGGCUUUGACGGGUAGCCGGCCUGAGAGGGUGACCGGCCACAUUGGGACUGAGGUAGGGCGCAGGAUGCAAUAGGGGGCAGCGGUGGGGAGUAUGGCACAGUGAGCGAGAGCGUGAUGCAGCAGCGCUGCGUGCGGGAUGACGGCCUUCGGGUUGUGAACCGCUUUCGCCUGUGACGAAGCGUGAGUGACGGUAAUGGGUAAAGAAGCACCGGCUAACUACGUG